RNAcentral lists this ribosomal RNA (449 nucleotides) under uncultured organism. RNAcentral's name for it is "partial 16S ribosomal RNA". It matches the Rfam family "Bacterial small subunit ribosomal RNA", at positions 331 to 797 of the family's 1533-position model. The record is from RNAcentral.
GUACACUCCUACGGGAGGCAGCAGUGGGGAAUCUUGCGCAAUGGGCGAAAGCCUGACGCAGCCAUGCCGCGUGAAUGAUGAAGGUCUUAGGAUUGUAAAAUUCUUUCACCGGGGACGAUAAUGACGGUACCCGGAGAAGAAGCCCCGGCUAACUUCGUGCCAGCAGCCGCGGUAAUACGAAGGGGGCUAGCGUUGCUCGGAAUUACUGGGCGUAAAGGGAGCGUAGGCGGACAUUUAAGUCAGGGGUGAAAUCCCGGGGCUCAACCUCGGAAUUGCCUUUGAUACUGGGUGUCUUGAGUAUGAGAGAGGUGUGUGGAACUCCGAGUGUAGAGGUGAAAUUCGUAGAUAUUCGGAAGAACACCAGUGGCGAAGGCGACACACUGGCUCAUUACUGACGCUGAGGCUCGAAAGCGUGGGGAGCAAACAGGAUUAGAAACACUUGUAGUCCC